Molecule: ribosomal RNA, 1190 nt
Filed under: uncultured organism
Description: bacterial SSU rRNA
Rfam family: Bacterial small subunit ribosomal RNA
Source: RNAcentral
GGAGAGUAACGCGUGGAUACCUACCUCGAGGUUCGGGAUAGCUGCGGGAAACUGCGGGUAAUACCGAAUAACAUCUCCGGAUCAAAGGUGUGAUUCCGCCUGGAGAUGGAUCCGCGUCCUAUUAGCUUGUUGGUGGGGUAACGGCCUACCAAGGCGACGAUGGGUACCGGGCGUGAGAGCGUGACCCGGCUCACUGGGACUGAGACACUGCCCAGACACCUACGGGUGGCUGCAGUCGAGAAUCUUCGGCAAUGGACGCAAGUCUGACCGAGCGACGCCGCGUGCGGGAUGAAGGCCUUCGGGUUGUAAACCGCUGUCAGUUGGGAGGAAAUCAUAUGGGGUUCUCUCCAUAUGUUGACCUAUCUUCAGAGGAAGGACGGGCUAAGUUCGUGCCAGCAGCCGCGGUAAGACGAACCGUCCAAACGUUAUUCGGAAUUACUGGGCUUAAAGGGUGCGUAGGCGGUGCUGUAAGUUGGGUGUGAAAUCCCUCGGCUCAACCGAGGAAUUGCGCCCAAUACUGCAGUACUAGAGGGAGACAGAGGUGAGCGGAACUUGUGGUGGAGCGGUGAAAUGCGUUGAUAUCACAAGGAACACCUGUGGCGAAAGCGGCUCACUGGGUCUUUUCUGACGCUGAGGCACGAAAGCUGGGGGAGCGAACGGGAUUAGAUACCCCGGUAGUCCCAGCUGUAAACGUUGAGCACUAGACCGGAGGACCCCCCAUAGUUUUCCGGUCGUAGCGAAAGUGUUAAGUGCUCCGCCUGGGGAGUAUGGUCGCAAGGUUGAAACUCAAAGGAAUUGACGGGGGUCUCACACAAGCGGUGGAGGAUGUGGCUUAAUUGGAGGCUACGCGUAGAACCUUAUCCUAGAUUUGACAUACAUGGAUGGGCCGCCUGAAAGGGAUGGUUCCUGCCUUCGGGUGAAACGUGCACAGGUGCUGCAUGGCUGCUGUCAGCUCGUGUCGUGAGAUGUCGGGUUAAGUUCCUUAACGAGCGAAACCCUUGUCACUAGUUGCCAGCGAGUCAUGUCGGGGACUCUAGUGAGACUGCCGGUGUUAAACCGGAGGAAGGUGGGGAUGACGUCAAGUCCUCAUGGCCUUUAUGUCUAGGGCUGCACACGUCCUACAAUGGCGCAUACAAAGGGAAGCGAACCUGCGAGGGCAAGCAAAUCCCAAAAAAUGCGCCUCAGUUCGG